UUCGCAAUGCCCGAAAGGGUGACGAAGCGACGCCGCGUGGGUGAAGAAGGCCUUCGGGUUGUAAAGCCCUGUCAGGAGUUAUGAAAUGUAGGUGCGAUAAUACCGUGCCUAUUUGACAAAGGCUCCAAAGGAAGCCACGGCUAACUCUGUGCCAGCAGCCGCGGUAAUACAGAGGUGGCAAGCGUUGUUCGGAAUUAUUGGGCGUAAAGAGCACGUUGGUGGGUUUGUAAGUCAGAUGUGAAAGCCUUCUGUUCAACGGAAGAAUUGCAUCUGAAACUGCGAGUCUUGAGUGUAGGAGGGGAGAAUGGAACUUCUGGUGGAGCGGUGAAAUGCGUAGAUAUCAGAAGGAACGCCGGCGGCGAAAGCGAUUCUCUGGCCUAUUACUGACACUGAGUGUGCGAAAGCUAGGGGAGCAAACGGGAUUAGAUAACCCGGUAGUCCUAGCCGUAAACGAUGGGCACUAAGUAGAGGGGUUUU
RNAcentral lists this ribosomal RNA (477 nucleotides) under Candidatus Scalindua marina (nom. nud.). Its description in RNAcentral is "bacterial SSU rRNA". It matches the Rfam family "Bacterial small subunit ribosomal RNA", at positions 365 to 832 of the family's 1533-position model. Lineage: Bacteria; Pseudomonadati; Planctomycetota; Candidatus Brocadiia; Candidatus Brocadiales; Candidatus Scalinduaceae. The record is from RNAcentral.